UACGUAGGGAGCAAGCGUUGUCCGGAAUCAUUGGGCGUAAAGCGCGCGUAGGCGGCCUCGUAAGUCCGUUGUGAAAGUCAAAGGCUCAACCUUUGAAAGCCGAUGGAUACUGUGAGGCUAGAGUCCGGAAGAGGCGAGUGGAAUUCCUGGUGUAGCGGUGGAAUGCGCAGAUAUCAGGAGGAACACCAAUAGCGAAGGCAGCUCGCUGGGACGGUACUGACGCUAAGGCGCGAAAGCGUGGGGGCGAACGAGG
This 253-nucleotide ribosomal RNA is filed under the name uncultured bacterium. RNAcentral describes it as "partial 16S ribosomal RNA". It matches the Rfam family "Bacterial small subunit ribosomal RNA", at positions 524 to 776 of the family's 1533-position model. The record is from RNAcentral.